Molecule: ribosomal RNA, 467 nt
Filed under: uncultured bacterium
Lineage: Bacteria
Description: partial 16S ribosomal RNA
Rfam family: Bacterial small subunit ribosomal RNA
Source: RNAcentral
GAUGAACGCUGGCGGCGUGCUUAACACAUGCAAGUCGAACGGAAAGGCCCAAGCUUGCUUGGGUACUCGAGUGGCGAACGGGUGAGUAACACGUGGGUGAUCUGCCCUGCACUUCGGGAUAAGCCUGGGAAACUGGGUCUAAUACCGGAUAGGACCACUUCUUGGAUGUUGUGGUGGAAAGUUUUUUCGGUGUGGGAUGAGCUCGCGGCCUAUCAGCCUGUUGGUGGGGUAAUGGCCUACCAAGGCGUCGACGGGUAGCCGGCCUGAGAGGGUGUACGGCCACAUUGGGACUGAGAUACGGCCCAGACGCCUACGGGAGGCAGCAGUGGGGAAUAUUGCACAAUGGGCGCAAGCCUGAUGCAGCGACGCCGCGUGGGGGAUGACGGCCUUCGGGUUGUAAACUCCUUUCGCUAGGGACGAAGCGUUUUGUGACGGUACCUGGAGAAGAAGCACCGGCUAACUACGUG